GACGAACGCUGGCGGCGUGCCUAAUACAUGCAAGUCGAGCGAGGAACUUCGGUUCCUAGCGGCGAACGGGUGAGUAACACGUGGGCAACCUGCCCUCAAGCUUGGGAUAACUCCGGGAAACCGGGGCUAACACCAGAUGAUCUUCUUUUUCGCAUGAAAGAGAAGUAAAAGUUUACACUUGAGGAUGGGCCCGCGGUGCAUUAGCUAGUUGGUAGGGUAACGGCUUACCAAGGCGACGAUGCAUAGCCGACCUGAGAGGGUGACCGGCCACACUGGGACUGAGACACGGCCCAGACUCCUACGGGAGGCAGCAGUAGGGAAUUUUCCGCAAUGGGCGCAAGCCUGACGGAGCAACGCCGCGUGAGUGAAGACGGCCUUCGGGUUGUAAAGCUCUGUUCUUAGGGAAGAAAAACAUGACGGUACCUAAGCAGAAAGCCCCGGCUAACUACGUGCCAGCAGCCGCGGUAAUAC
Molecule: ribosomal RNA, 471 nt
Filed under: uncultured bacterium
Lineage: Bacteria
Description: bacterial SSU rRNA
Rfam family: Bacterial small subunit ribosomal RNA
Source: RNAcentral